RNAcentral lists this long non-coding RNA (246 nucleotides) under Carica papaya (papaya). RNAcentral's name for it is "long non-coding RNA (CPAP_LNC015912)". Lineage: Eukaryota; Viridiplantae; Streptophyta; Magnoliopsida; Brassicales; Caricaceae. The record is from RNAcentral.
CUCCUCAUAAGACAGAUCCUCCUAGAGUGAAAAGGGCUCAUGGGCUAAGAUGUGAUAGGGGUCCGAGUUGUACUUGCGUAGCAUUGACACAUGAAAUACAUUAUGGACUCUAGAUAGUUUUAGAGAGAGUGUCAGUCUAUAGGUGACAAUACCAAUUUUAUUUAAGAUUUCAAAUGGCCCAAUAAAAUGGAGAUUUAGUUUCUCCCUCUUGACAAAUCUAUUAAUUUUCUUAAAAGGAGUGACCUU